GGUUAAGCGACUAAGCGUACACGGUGGAUGCCCUGGCAGUCAGAGGCGAUGAAGGACGUGCUAAUCUGCGAUAAGCGUCGGUAAGGUGAUAUGAACCGUUAUAACCGGCGAUUUCCGAAUGGGGAAACCCAGUGUGUUUCGACACACUAUCAUUAACUGAAUCCAUAGGUUAAUGAGGCGAACCGGGGGAACUGAAACAUCUAAGUACCCCGAGGAAAAGAAAUCAACCGAGAUUCCCCCAGUAGCGGCGAGCGAACGGGGAGCAGCCCAGAGCCUGAAUCAGUGUGUGUGUUAGUGGAAGCGUCUGGAAAGGCGCGCGAUACAGGGUGACAGCCCCGUACACAAAAAUGCACAUAUUGUGAGCUCGAUGAGUAGGGCGGGACACGUGGUAUCCUGUCUGAAUAUGGGGGGACCAUCCUCCAAGGCUAAAUACUCCUGACUGACCGAUAGUGAACCAGUACCGUGAGGGAAAGGCGAAAAGAACCCCGGCGAGGGGAGUGAAAAAGAACCUGAAACCGUGUACGUACAAGCAGUGGGAGCACAGAGCAAUCUGUGUGACUGCGUACCUUUUGUAUAAUGGGUCAGCGACUUAUAUUCUGUAGCAAGGUUAACCGAAUAGGGGAGCCGAAGGGAAACCGAGUCUUAACUGGGCGUUAAGUUGCAGGGUAUAGACCCGAAACCCGGUGAUCUAGCCAUGGGCAGGUUGAAGGUUGGGUAACACUAACUGGAGGACCGAACCGACUAAUGUUGAAAAAUUAGCGGAUGACUUGUGGCUGGGGGUGAAAGGCCAAUCAAACCGGGAGAUAGCUGGUUCUCCCCGAAAGCUAUUUAGGUAGCGCCUCGUGAAUUCAUCUCCGGGGGUAGAGCACUGUUUCGGCAAGGGGGUCAUCCCGACUUACCAACCCGAUGCAAACUGCGAAUACCGGAGAAUGUUAUCACGGGAGACACACGGCGGGUGCUAACGUCCGUCGUGAAGAGGGAAACAACCCAGACCGCCAGCUAAGGUCCCAAAGUCAUGGUUAAGUGGGAAACGAUGUGGGAAGGCCCAGACAGCCAGGAUGUUGGCUUAGAAGCAGCCAUCAUUUAAAGAAAGCGUAAUAGCUCACUGGUCGAGUCGGCCUGCGCGGAAGAUGUAACGGGGCUAAACCAUGCACCGAAGCUGCGGCAGCGACGCUUAUGCGUUGUUGGGUAGGGGAGCGUUCUGUAAGCCUGUGAAGGUGUGCUGUGAGGCAUGCUGGAGGUAUCAGAAGUGCGAAUGCUGACAUAAGUAACGAUAAAGCGGGUGAAAAGCCCGCUCGCCGGAAGACCAAGGGUUCCUGUCCAACGUUAAUCGGGGCAGGGUGAGUCGACCCCUAAGGCGAGGCCGAAAGGCGUAGUCGAUGGGAAACAGGUUAAUAUUCCUGUACUUGGUGUUACUGCGAAGGGGGGACGGAGAAGGCUAUGUUGGCCGGGCGACGGUUGUCCCGGUUUAAGCGUGUAGGCUGGUUUUCCAGGCAAAUCCGGAAAAUCAAGGCUGAGGCGUGAUGACGAGGCACUACGGUGCUGAAGCAACAAAUGCCCUGCUUCCAGGAAAAGCCUCUAAGCAUCAGGUAACAUCAAAUCGUACCCCAAACCGACACAGGUGGUCAGGUAGAGAAUACCAAGGCGCUUGAGAGAACUCGGGUGAAGGAACUAGGCAAAAUGGUGCCGUAACUUCGGGAGAAGGCACGCUGAUAUGUAGGUGAGGUCCCUCGCGGAUGGAGCUGAAAUCAGUCGAAGAUACCAGCUGGCUGCAACUGUUUAUUAAAAACACAGCACUGUGCAAACACGAAAGUGGACGUAUACGGUGUGACGCCUGCCCGGUGCCGGAAGGUUAAUUGAUGGGGUUAGCGGUAACGCGAAGCUCUUGAUCGAAGCCCCGGUAAACGGCGGCCGUAACUAUAACGGUCCUAAGGUAGCGAAAUUCCUUGUCGGGUAAGUUCCGACCUGCACGAAUGGCGUAAUGAUGGCCAGGCUGUCUCCACCCGAGACUCAGUGAAAUUGAACUCGCUGUGAAGAUGCAGUGUACCCGCGGCAAGACGGAAAGACCCCGUGAACCUUUACUAUAGCUUGACACUGAACAUUGAGCCUUGAUGUGUAGGAUAGGUGGGAGGCUUUGAAGUGUGGACGCCAGUCUGCAUGGAGCCGGCCUUGAAAUACCACCCUUUAAUGUUUGAUGUUCUAACGUUGGCCCCUGAUCGGGGUUGCGGACAGUGUCUGGUGGGUAGUUUGACUGGGGCGGUCUCCUCCUAAAGAGUAACGGAGGAGCACGAAGGUUGGCUAAUCCUGGUCGGACAUCAGGAGGUUAGUGCAAUGGCAUAAGCCAGCUUGACUGCGAGCGUGACGGCGCGAGCAGGUGCGAAAGCAGGUCAUAGUGAUCCGGUGGUUCUGAAUGGAAGGGCCAUCGCUCAACGGAUAAAAGGUACUCCGGGGAUAACAGGCUGAUACCGCCCAAGAGUUCAUAUCGACGGCGGUGUUUGGCACCUCGAUGUCGGCUCAUCACAUCCUGGGGCUGAAGUAGGUCCCAAGGGUAUGGCUGUUCGCCAUUUAAAGUGGUACGCGAGCUGGGUUUAGAACGUCGUGAGACAGUUCGGUCCCUAUCUGCCGUGGGCGCUGGAGAACUGAGGGGGGCUGCUCCUAGUACGAGAGGACCGGAGUGGACGCAUCACUGGUGUUCGGGUUGUCAUGCCAAUGGCACUGCCCGGUAGCUAAAUGCGGAAGAGAUAAGUGCUGAAAGCAUCUAAGCACGAAACUUGCCCCGAGAUGAGUUCUCCCUGACUCCUUGAGAGUCCUGAAGGAACGUUGAAGACGACGACGUUGAUAGGCCGGGUGUGUAAGCGCAGCGAUGCGUUGAGCUAACCGGUACUAAUGAACCGUGAGGCUUAACCUU
Molecule: ribosomal RNA, 2908 nt
Filed under: Escherichia coli
Lineage: Bacteria; Pseudomonadati; Pseudomonadota; Gammaproteobacteria; Enterobacterales; Enterobacteriaceae
Description: 23S ribosomal RNA
Rfam family: Bacterial large subunit ribosomal RNA
Source: RNAcentral